RNAcentral lists this ribosomal RNA (488 nucleotides) under Streptococcus constellatus. RNAcentral describes it as "bacterial SSU rRNA". It matches the Rfam family "Bacterial small subunit ribosomal RNA", at positions 28 to 490 of the family's 1533-position model. The record is from RNAcentral. Lineage: Bacteria; Bacillati; Bacillota; Bacilli; Lactobacillales; Streptococcaceae.
GACGAACGCUGGCGGCGUGCUUAAUACAUGCAAGUAGAACGCACAGGAUGCACCGUAGUUUACUACACCGUAUUCUGUGAGUUGCGAACGGGUGAGUAACGCGUAGGUAACCUGCCUGGUAGCGGGGGAUAACUAUUGGAAACGAUAGCUAAUACCGCAUAAGAACAUUUACUGCAUGGUAGAUGUUUAAAAGGUGCAAAAGCAUCACUACCAGAUGGACCUGCGUUGUAUUAGCUAGUUGGUGAGGUAACGGCUCACCAAGGCAACGAUACAUAGCCGACCUGAGAGGGUGAUCGGCCACACUGGGACUGAGACACGGCCCAGACUCCUACGGGAGGCAGCAGUAGGGAAUCUUCGGCAAUGGGGGGAACCCUGACCGAGCAACGCCGCGUGAGUGAAGAAGGUUUUCGGAUCGUAAAGCUCUGUUGUUAAGGAAGAACGUGUGUGAGAGUGGAAAGUUCACACAGUGACGGUACUUAACCAGAAAG